Molecule: small nuclear RNA, 106 nt
Organism: Cavia aperea (Brazilian guinea pig)
Lineage: Eukaryota; Metazoa; Chordata; Mammalia; Rodentia; Caviidae
Source: Ensembl
AUGCUCGCUUCAACAGCACAUAUACUAAAAUUGGAACGAUACAGAGGAGAUUAGCAUGGCCCCCUGUGAAAGGAUGACACAAAUUCGUGAAACGUUCCAUAAACUA